GAUGAACGCUGGCGGCGUGCCUAAUACAUGCAAGUCGAGCGAACGGACGAGAAGCUUGCUUCUCUGAUGUUAGCGGCGGACGGGUGAGUAACACGUGGAUAACCUACCUAUAAGACUGGGAUAACUUCGGGAAACCGGAGCUAAUACAGGAUGAUAUUUUGAACCGCAUGGUUCAAAAGUGAAAGACGGUCUUGCUGUCACUAAUAGAUGGAUCCGCGCUGCAUUAGCUAGUUGGUAAGGUAACGGCUUACCAAGGCAACGAUGCAUAGCCGACCUGAGAGGGUGAUCGGCCACACUGGAACUGAGACACGGUCCAGACUCCUACGGGAGGCAGCAGUAGGGAAUCUUCCGCAAUGGGCGAAAGCCUGACGGAGCAACGCCGCGUGAGUGAUGAAGGUCUUCGGAUCGUAAAGCUCUGUUAUUAGGGAAGAACAUAUGUGUAAGUAACUGUGCACAUCUUGACGGUACCUAAUCAGAAAGCCACGGCUAACUACGUG
This 497-nucleotide ribosomal RNA is filed under the name uncultured bacterium. RNAcentral describes it as "partial 16S ribosomal RNA". It matches the Rfam family "Bacterial small subunit ribosomal RNA", at positions 28 to 507 of the family's 1533-position model. The record is from RNAcentral.